Long non-coding RNA from Sinocyclocheilus grahami, 438 nucleotides. RefSeq lists it as uncharacterized. The transcript has 2 exons. The record is from RefSeq and is a predicted model, not a curated record. NCBI's taxonomy places the organism in Eukaryota, Metazoa, Chordata, Actinopteri, Cypriniformes, Cyprinidae.
GAUAUUGUGUUCUGUAUUCUGUUUUCCAGUGAGAAAAUCCGGUCAGACGAGUCAGCGGUGGUGGAAUCGAAAUAUUUGAACUGAUUUUGAAACUUGAAUUAUCCAUAAUGAGGCAUAUAUCACCACUCAUAAACACUGCACAGCAACUGUCACUAAUUCAUCCAAAACGAUAUUAAUGAUGACAAAUUCUCAUCCAUCCAUAGCAUGUCAGGUAUGUUGAAGACGAUGUCUAUUGCAGCUCUAAAAUUUCUGGGAUGAUCUUCAUUUAGGUUUAGAGCGUUACAAACUCAUAAUUGAAAUUCGCUGUAGACGUUGGUUCUGUAACCUCUCGUUCUAUUUAAUUACCGAGCCUUUUUUUGGUAGUUACGUGGUUUUCUUUGUUUUUUUUCCUUUUUUCAAUUUAUUGCUGGGCAAAAUUGUGUAAUACAGAAGAAAAAG